GACGAACGCUGGCGGCGUGCUUAACACAUGCCAGUCGAACGGAAAGGCCCUGCUUUUGUGGGGUGCUCGAGUGGCGAACGGGUGCGUAACACGUGAGUAACCUGCCCUUGACUUUGGGAUAACUUCAGGAAACUGGAGCUACUACCGGAUAGGAUCUCCUGCUGCAUGGUGGGGGUUGGAAAGUUUCGGCGGUUGGGGAUGGACUCGCGGCUUAUCAGCUUGUUGGUGGGGUAGUGGCUUACCAAGGCUUUGACGGGUAGCCGGCCUGGGAGGGUGACCGGCCACAUUGGGACUGAGAUACGGCCCAGACUCCUACGGGAGGCAGCAGUGGGGAAUAUUGCACAAUGGGCGGAAGCCUGAUGCAGCAACGCCGCGUGCGGGAUGACGGCCUUCGGGUUGUAAACCGCUUUCGCCUGUGACGAAGCGUUAGUGACGGUAAUGGGUAAAGAAGCACCGGCUAACUACGUG
This 468-nucleotide ribosomal RNA is filed under the name uncultured bacterium. RNAcentral describes it as "partial 16S ribosomal RNA". It matches the Rfam family "Bacterial small subunit ribosomal RNA", at positions 28 to 507 of the family's 1533-position model. The record is from RNAcentral.